Esox lucius (northern pike) is the source of this 173-nucleotide long non-coding RNA. RefSeq lists it as uncharacterized. The record is from RefSeq and is a predicted model, not a curated record. NCBI's taxonomy places the organism in Eukaryota, Metazoa, Chordata, Actinopteri, Esociformes, Esocidae. The transcript is spliced from 3 exons.
AUUUGCCCUGGCAGCAUAUGGGUGAAAACGCUGGAGGAGAAAGUCAUCGCUUUGUUAUUGGCCCUUGGACUCCCCUGGCAUCUUGUGUACAGCAUGACGUUUUCAGCUAUGAAGAUUUCCAGAGACUCUGAGGGAGGAGAACUAAGCCCGGAGGGAAAGCAUUGCACGAGCUG